AAUGAACGCUGGCGGCGCGCCUAAUACAUGCAAGUCGAGCGAGAAGACGUAGCAAUACGUUUGUAAAGCGGCGAACGGGUGAGGAAUACAUGGGUAACCUACCCUAGAGUGGGGAAUAACUAGCCGAAAGGUUAGCUAAUACCGCGUACGCUCCUUGGACUUCGGUUCAGGGAGGAAAGCGAUGCCGAGGGUAUCGCGCUCUUGGAUGGGCUCAUGUCCUAUCAGCUUGUUGGGAGGUAACGGCUCACCAAGGCUUCGACGGGUAGCUGGUCUGAGAGGACGAUCAGCCACACUGGCACUGCGACACGGGCCAGACCCCUACGGAGGCAGCAGUAAGGAAUAUUGCGCAAUGGGCGAAAGCCUGACGCAGCGACGCCGCGUGGGGGAGUGAA
RNAcentral lists this ribosomal RNA (392 nucleotides) under uncultured bacterium. Its description in RNAcentral is "bacterial SSU rRNA". It matches the Rfam family "Bacterial small subunit ribosomal RNA", at positions 29 to 413 of the family's 1533-position model. The record is from RNAcentral.